GUCAAUCUUUUCUCAUUCUUUGGAAAUGAUCUUAAUUCUUAUAUAUGCUUCUAUUUUUACGGGCAUUUUAUUGCUUUGUAUUCUGCAUGAAUAACAUACCAUUUUAAUUAUCAUAAUUUUACUAGACAUUUUUAUUAUCUUAUAUGAAGAGUACCCUUUAUUAUACCUAAUUUUAUAAAAAUAUGAAUAUGUCUACGCCAGUUGAGCUUUUGAGUAAUGUGGCCAAUAUUUGCCUGCCAAAUAAAACUCCUAUUAAUAUGUUGAUUAUAUUGUUGUAUAUAUGAAUUUGAAGACCAUUGAUAUCUUAAGCAGAGAUGAGUUCCAUUCCAGGAACAUGCUACAUCUUUCUAUUUAUACAAGUGUUUAUAAUGCCCCCAGUAUAGUUUUUCAGGUUUUUUUUUUUUUUUUUUUUCAUGUGGUCCACAUCUUUCUUAAAUUGAUUCCUAGCUGGGCCUGAUGGUGCAUGCCUGUAAUCCCAGUGAUUUGGGAGGCUGAGGCAAGAGGAUCUCAAGUUUGAGGCCAUCCUCAGCAACUUAGUGAGACCUUAUCUUAAAAUAAAGAAUAAAAAGGGCUGGAGAUGUGGCUCAUUGGUAGAGUGCCCUUAGGUUCAAUCUCCAGUGUCAAAAAAAUUCGAUACCUUGUUUUAUAUUUCUUCUUUUUAAAUGUUUUAAUUAUUUAUACAUGACAGUAGACCUGUUUUAUAUAUCUUAAUGCUAUAACAAGCUACCUCCUCACCCCUCAGUAUUGUUUGUAUCUUUUAGUAGGCAACUGGCUUUAUUUUUGAAAAAUUAAAAAAAAAAAAAAAAAAAUCAUUUCAAUUUCUAUCAUUUCCACCAGAUGGCAGUCUUGGGCAUGUCAAUUGGUAAACCUGCUGAGAACUCUGGUGACAAGGCAGUGAGUGACUGGCCAACCUACCAAGAGCCCAGAAGUUCAAGGAAAAAAAAGUUCUUUUUUGUUUGUUUUUGUAAACCUGAAAGAAAAAUGAGCUCAACAGCACAUAGUUAUAAUAUUUAUACUUGUAUUAAACUAUUAAUCUUUUAACUAUUUAUUGGAGGCAAAGAGCUAUCACCAUGCCCUUCAAAUUCAUGUUUUCCCUGUUCAUACAAUAAACACCUGUGGCUUCUUGGUAGUACUUGUGGUUUUAUUUCAGGAUUCUUCGUGAGUAAAAGCCAGCUUUAAUCUUUCAUUAUUGUUUCAGUUAUCCUAAAAGUACCACUUAGAUCAGCAGUUUCUGGAUUUCUGAAUUUAUGUCUAAGAGCAUCUCAUGACUGUUUUUUACCAUUCCUACAUAUCUUCUGAAAUUAGUUAGUGUUUAUACUUCAUGUGAAAGGAAGUAUGGUUAUAACCUGCCUGUUCUACAGGAACAUGAACCUAACAGCCCCCUAUAAUGAAGCCCUUUUUGGCUUAAUUUAGGUGAUUUCCAAGACCUACAUUGAGGAACAUAGAAAAUAGUUAAUCACUUGUUCAGGCCAUGCUUUGUCUCAAGUAUUUUCUAAUAGAUACCCUUCCAAGUGGCAAAAAAAAAUAGUACUUUGGGACACAGUACAUUGCCUAGGCAACCUCUCCUCUUGUACCACUUAUUAUGAUUCCAUUUGUUAGUCAACGUGCUUUUAUAAUCAGG
Molecule: long non-coding RNA, 1621 nt
Filed under: Marmota monax (woodchuck)
Lineage: Eukaryota; Metazoa; Chordata; Mammalia; Rodentia; Sciuridae
Source: RNAcentral